Non-coding RNA from Ictidomys tridecemlineatus (thirteen-lined ground squirrel), 69 nucleotides. NCBI's taxonomy places the organism in Eukaryota, Metazoa, Chordata, Mammalia, Rodentia, Sciuridae. The record is from Rfam.
GGGGCUGUGGCUCAGUGGUAGAGUGCUCGCCUAGCAUGUGUGAGGCCCUGAGUUCAAUCCUUGGCACCA